This 740-nucleotide long non-coding RNA is filed under the name Pan troglodytes (chimpanzee). RNAcentral describes it as "long non-coding RNA NONPTRT013514". The record is from RNAcentral. Lineage: Eukaryota; Metazoa; Chordata; Mammalia; Primates; Hominidae.
AAAUUUACUACUUGUCAGGCACUGGCCAAGACACUGAGGGUACGGAGCUUGUUACACAGAUCCACGCGUGGGUUAUCGACAUUCUCUUCUACCGUUCCCGGGCUUUGCUCUGGAGAAGAGAGGCCUCUGCUGAGAUCCAGUGGUAUCUGACCAGUGUGUGGUGGUGGAGACGCAGCGGGACUCUGGGUGGUGGUGGUGGGACUGCUGGAAGUUGUCAGGUCCAAUGCUCCUAUCUUUGAGUUCAAGGGAGAAGUCAAAGACAGCUUUCUGGCCCUCACUGGGGAAGAUGUUCUGGACACAGCCAGUGGUGGCGGGGAAGAGAAUUUGCGACACAGACGUGGGGAUUUGCCAUCCACCAAAUGUUCACCUCUGUUGUUCUGGCUGGUAGCAAAAAACAAUUCCAAUGACCUAAAAAUGAGAGUAAAAGUGGCUAAGAGAUUGUAGCCAAGUGAAAUGAAUUCCCAGAUGUCAUUCAAGAACAUGAUCCCUUCAUUUAUAGGUCACAAUCUCAUUGCACUUCUAUUGCUGGACUUCCCUUAAUCUAAAUGCUACAUGUAUACCCUCCACCUGCCAAAGAAGCACAGACACCUAACUAGGCAUCGUCUAAUCCCUUGCUACUAAACUGUGGUCCAAACAGCAGCAUUGAGAUCUCUGGGGAGCUUGUUAGACAUUCAGAACUCAGGCUCCACACCAGGCCUGCUGAAUCAGAGCCAGCAAUUUAACAAGACACCCUCCCCACG